GCCAGGCGUGGUGGUGCAUGCCUGUAAUCCCAGCUACUUGGGAGGCUGAGGCAGGAGAAUUGUUUGAAUCCAGGAGGCAGAGGUUGCAGUGAGCUAAGAUUGUGCCACUGUACUCUAGCCUGGGUGACAGAGCGAGACUCUGUCUCAA
This 148-nucleotide small RNA is filed under the name Pongo abelii (Sumatran orangutan). Its description in RNAcentral is "Metazoan signal recognition particle RNA (ENSPPYG00000034411.1)". The record is from Rfam by way of RNAcentral. Lineage: Eukaryota; Metazoa; Chordata; Mammalia; Primates; Hominidae.